RNAcentral lists this ribosomal RNA (507 nucleotides) under uncultured bacterium. RNAcentral's name for it is "bacterial SSU rRNA". It matches the Rfam family "Bacterial small subunit ribosomal RNA", at positions 9 to 524 of the family's 1533-position model. The record is from RNAcentral.
GAGUUUGAUCGUGGCUCAGGGUUAACGCUGGCGGUGCGCAUAACACAUGCAAGUCGAGCGAGGGCUUAUUUCUCGCAAGAGAGAUGAGUUCCUAGCGGCGAACGGGUGAGUAACACGUGGGCAACCUUUCCUAUCGCGGGGGAUAACACCGGGAAACCGAUGCUAAUACCGCAUGUCGUCACUGAUCGCAUGGUUGGUGAAGAAAGCAGCAAUGCACGAUGGGGUGGGCCCGCGGCCUAUCAGCUAGUCGGUGGGGUAACGGCCUACCGAGGCGAUGACGGGUAGCUGGUCUGAGAGGACGGCCAGCCACACGGGGGACUGAGACACGGCCCCGACUCCUACGGGAGGCAGCAGUGAGGAAUCUUCCGCAAUGGGCGAAAGCCUGACGGAGCGACACCGCGUGUGGGAUGAAGUCUUUCGGGAUGUAAACCACUGUCGGAGGGAAGACAAAAAAGACGGUACCCUCCAAGAAAGCCCGGCUAACUACGUGCCAGCAGCCGCAGUAAG